Molecule: ribosomal RNA, 494 nt
Filed under: uncultured bacterium
Lineage: Bacteria
Description: bacterial SSU rRNA
Rfam family: Bacterial small subunit ribosomal RNA
Source: RNAcentral
GAUGAACGCUAGCGGCAGGCUUAACACAUGCAAGUCGAGGGGCAGCGCGAUGUAGCAAUACAUUGGCGGCGACCGGCGCACGGGUGCGUAACACGUAUGGAACUUACCCUUUACUGGGAGAUAGCCCGGAGAAAUCCGGAUUAAUAUCCCAUAAUAAACGAAGUGGCAUCACUUUGUUUGAAAGCUCCGGCGGUAAAGGAUGGCCAUGCGCACGAUUAGCUAGUAGGUGAGGUAACGGCUCACCUAGGCUACGAUCGUUAGGGGGCCUGAGAGGGUUAUCCCCCACACUGGUACUGAGACACGGACCAGACUCCUACGGGAGGCAGCAGUGAGGAAUAUUGCGCAAUGGAGGCAACUCUGACGCAGCCAUGCCGCGUGCAGGAAGAAGGCGCUACGCGUUGUAAACUGCUUUUAACCGGGAGAAACCCUCCGACGUGUCGGAGGUUGACGGUACCGGAGGAAUAAGCACCGGCUAACGUUCGUGCCAGCAGCCG